UUUUAUAGUGUAAUAUAACACAUUACAUUUUCGUUGUAAUACUGAAGAUUCUUAGCUCUUCUAAAAAU
This 68-nucleotide transfer RNA is filed under the name Sagmariasus verreauxi (green rock lobster). RNAcentral's name for it is "tRNA-Glu". The record is from RNAcentral. Lineage: Eukaryota; Metazoa; Arthropoda; Malacostraca; Decapoda; Palinuridae.